GGGGCUGUAGCUCAGUGGCAGAGCACUUGCCUAGCAUGUAUGAGGCACUGGGUUCAAACCUCAGCACCACA
RNAcentral lists this transfer RNA (71 nucleotides) under Marmota monax (woodchuck). RNAcentral's name for it is "tRNA.Ala". It matches the Rfam family "tRNA". Rfam says of the family: Transfer RNA (tRNA) molecules are approximately 80 nucleotides in length. Their secondary structure includes four short double-helical elements and three loops (D, anti-codon, and T loops). Further hydrogen bonds mediate the characteristic L-shaped molecular structure. tRNAs have two regions of fundamental functional importance: the anti-codon, which is responsible for specific mRNA codon recognition, and the 3' end, to which the tRNAs corresponding amino acid is attached (by aminoacyl-tRNA synthetases). tRNAs cope with the degeneracy of the genetic code in two manners: having more than one tRNA (with a specific anti-codon) for a particular amino acid; and 'wobble' base-pairing, i.e. permitting non-standard base-pairing at the 3rd anti-codon position. Lineage: Eukaryota; Metazoa; Chordata; Mammalia; Rodentia; Sciuridae. The record is from RNAcentral.